GCGGAAGGAUCAUUACCGAGUGAGGGCCCUCUGGGUCCAACCUCCCACCCGUGUCUAUCGUACCUUGUUGCUUCGGCGGGCCCGCCGUUUCGACGGCCGCCGGGGAGGCCUUGCGCCCCCGGGCCCGCGCCCGCCGAAGACCCCAACAUGAACGCUGUUCUGAAAGUAUGCAGUCUGAGUUGAUUAUCGUAAUCAGUUAAAACUUUCAACAACGGAUCUCUUGGUUCCGGCAUCGAUGAAGAACGCAGCGAAAUGCGAUAAGUAAUGUGAAUUGCAGAAUUCAGUGAAUCAUCGAGUCUUUGAACGCACAUUGCGCCCCCUGGUAUUCCGGGGGGCAUGCCUGUCCGAGCGUCAUUGCUGCCCUCAAGCACGGCUUGUGUGUUGGGCCCCCGUCCCCCUCUCCCGGGGGACGGGCCCGAAAGGCAGCGGCGGCACCGCGUCCGGUCCUCGAGCGUAUGGGGCUUUGUCACCUGCUCUGUAGGCCCGGCCGGCGCCAGCCGACACCCAACUUUAUUUUUCUAAGGUUGACCUCGGAUCAGGUAGGGAUACCCGCUGAACUUAAGCAUAUC
RNAcentral lists this ribosomal RNA (569 nucleotides) under Aspergillus fumigatus. Its description in RNAcentral is "eukaryotic LSU rRNA". The stretch from base 201 to 354 matches the Rfam family "5.8S ribosomal RNA". Lineage: Eukaryota; Fungi; Ascomycota; Eurotiomycetes; Eurotiales; Aspergillaceae. The record is from RNAcentral.